Molecule: ribosomal RNA, 252 nt
Filed under: uncultured bacterium
Lineage: Bacteria
Description: partial 16S ribosomal RNA
Rfam family: Bacterial small subunit ribosomal RNA
Source: RNAcentral
UACGUAGGUCCCGAGCGUUGUCCGGAUUUAUUGGGCGUAAAGCGAGCGUAGGUGGUUUAUUAAGUCUGGUGUAAAAGGCAGUGGCUCAACCAUUGUAUGCAUUGGAAACUGGUAGACUUGAGUGCAGGAGAGGAGAGUGGAAUUCCAUGUGUAGCGGUGAAAUGCGUAGAUAUAUGGAGGAACACCGGUGGCGAAAGCGGCUCUCUGGCCUGUAACUGACACUGAGGCUCGAAAGCGUGGGGAGCAAACAGG